RNAcentral lists this long non-coding RNA (1847 nucleotides) under Gallus gallus (chicken). The record is from RNAcentral. Lineage: Eukaryota; Metazoa; Chordata; Aves; Galliformes; Phasianidae.
CUUUUCUCCAGUAUGGACACGCUUGUGUCGUGUCAGAUGUGACUGUGUUGUAGAAGCAAAGUUGCACUCAUCACAUUUGAAUGGUUUCUCUCCUGUGUGUUGCCUUCGAUGCUUGGUGAGGGCAUGACGUGUCCCGCCGGCAAAGCCACAAAGGUCACAGAGGAACGACUUCUCGCCUGUGUGAGUCCUAAUGUGGUCCUUCAUCGCCGAAGCCGUGAGGAAGGAGUAGUGGCAGGUGGGCCAGGUGCACUUAAAUGGCUUCUCCCCGGUGUGCAGCUUCAUGUGGUUGUUCAGCGCCCACUUCUCCGUGAAGCUCCUGUCACACAGGUGACAUGUGAAUUUCCUUUCUUUGGGUGUGCCAACUCCAUGCUUGCCCAGUAAAUGAGUAUUCAAAUGCUUCUUCAUCACAAAAGCUACCCCACAGACAUGACACUUGUAUUCCCUCAUCCCAAGGUGCCUCUUGACAUGGUUUCUGGCAUCUCCGAGCUGAGCUGUUGCAAAGUGGCAUAUCUUGCACUUGAAUGGCUUUGAUCCUGUAUGGGUACGAAUGUGAGCUAGGAAGGCCAUGGAAUUGCUACUUCUACACAUCUUCCCACAAUACUUGCAGACGUUGCCUUGGUUCUCUUCCCUCUCUCUGUUUAUUUGCUCAGUGUCCUCCACAAUGUACUUAUUCACUUCCCGCAGCAGUUCUUCGUGCUGCUCUUUGAUAUGGAGAAACAAGUUCUGCUCUGAAUCAAAGGGCUCCGUGCACUUCACACAUUUGAAGGUUGCACCUCCUUCAGGCAGCUCCUCCACGCUUGCCUGCUCAUUGCGCAUGUGCCCAGCACUGGCCAAGUGCUGAUGAAGAUUGCUCUCUGUGUAAAAUGACUUUCCACAGAGUAAACAAUGAAAAUGUUUUUCUUUUGAAGGAUGUUUCAUGGCUAUGUGAACAUUUAGUCCGCUCAAACCAUCUGCUAGAAAGCCACAGUCAUCGCAGCGAAUACGUGUCAGUUCCCCAAGGGAAAUGCCUUCUGACUUCUUCUUUUUCCCACCACUUGGUGAAGCGUCUGCUUUCACUGCAAACUCACCAGUUCUCACUCCACCUGGCACCUGUCCUUCAUCUGAAUGGUCAAUGGGCUCUCCAUCUUGAUCGCUUUUUAAUCUUACUAUAGAAGAAUCAAACUUGCCAAAAUUUUGCAUUGCCUUUCGUUUAUCAUCAGUACUGGUAACUGUUCCUAAAGCCUCAUUACUACUUUCUUGCAUGCCCUCAGCUGUUGAGCCAUCUGCCUCCCAAAUACUGUUAUUUAUAGUUACUUCUGCUUCAUGUUGUGCUUCCAUAAGGGCUUCUUCCUCCUCCCCAGUAGGAUUCUUUUUGAAACUUCUGUCACCCUCUAAACUAUGCAUAUUUUGCACCAUCUCUCCAAUGUUUCCAGCAAAAUUUGAUUGCCAUGCUGCACUUUUCGUUUCUGGAAGACUUAGCAGAAGUGGGUUAUCUUCUUUCAGUGAUAUUUCUUCAAUAAUAUCUGUGUUUCUACCCUCCGCUUCAGGUUUUUCUCUAUUUGUGUCCAAGUUUUCCUUGCCUUUUCCUGAGUUCAAGUUUGUGCCACCUGAUCUAUUUUCAAUUUCUGCCAGGCAAUCACCUGAGUUGAGCAGCUCCUGACCAUGUCCACUUUUCUGCAACUCACAGGCACCUGCCUCUUUAAUUGGUAUCCCUUCAUCAGGCUCAUCAGCAUUAUCUUUCUGAGGAGCUCCCUGGAAUCCUUCACAUAAAAUGUUUUCUCCUCCAUUUUUAGUUUCCUCUUUAACUACACUUCCCACUGUAUUUUGGGAACUGCUUUCUUUAGGCAUUUCUGGAAAUGCAUUUUCAU